GGUGGGGGCCGAACGGCCAGCUCCUUCUGAAUCCCCCCAGGGUGGAAACACAGCAAGGGUAGGAGGUUGAGCGGUUAGGUUCGUGUUCCCACUUUUUU
Molecule: signal recognition particle RNA, 98 nt
Filed under: Saprospiraceae bacterium
Lineage: Bacteria; Pseudomonadati; Bacteroidota; Saprospiria; Saprospirales; Saprospiraceae
Description: signal recognition particle sRNA small type
Rfam family: Bacterial small signal recognition particle RNA
About the family: The signal recognition particle (SRP) is a universally conserved ribonucleoprotein involved in the co-translational targeting of proteins to membranes. Archaeal SRP consists of a 7S RNA and homologues of the eukaryotic SRP19 and SRP54 proteins. In most bacteria, the SRP consists of a 4.5S RNA and the Ffh protein (a homologue of the eukaryotic SRP54 protein).
Source: RNAcentral